GAGUUUGAACCUGGCUCAGGAUGAACGCUGGCGGCGUGCUUAAUACAUGCAAGUCGAACGAAGCACCUCUCCCGUUGAUUGACCUAGCUUGCUAGAGAUUGAAACAAUUGAGGUGACUGAGUGGUGGACGGGUGAGUAACGCGUGGGUAACCUGCCUUGUACAGGGGGAUAACAGUUGGAAACGACUGCUAAUACCGCAUAAGCGCACAGUAUCGCAUGAUACAGUGUGAAAAACUCCGGUGGUACAAGAUGGACCCGCGUCUGAUUAGCUAGUUGGAGGGGUAACGGCCCACCAAGGCAACGAUCAGUAGCCGACUUGAGAGAGUGAUCGGCCACAUUGGGACUGAGACACGGCCCAAACUCCUACGGGAGGCAGCAGUAGGGAAUAUUGCACAAUGGGGGAAACCCUGAUGCAGCGACGCCGCGUGAAGGAUGAAGUAUUUCGGUAUGUAAACUUCUAUCAGCAAGGAAGAAAAUGACGGUACUUGACUAAGAAGCCCCGGCUAAAUACGUGCCAGCAGCCGCGGUAAUACGUAUGGGGCAAGCGUUAUCCGGAUUUACUGGGUGUAAAGGGAGCGUAGGCGGUACGGCAAGUCAGAAGUGAAAGCCUGGGGCUCAACCCCGGAAUUGCUUUUGAAACUGUCGAACUAGAGUGUCGGAGGGGUAAGCGGAAUUCCUAGUGUAGCGGUGAAAUGCGUAGAUAUUAGGAGGAACACCGGUGGCGAAGGCGGCUUA
This 735-nucleotide ribosomal RNA is filed under the name uncultured bacterium. RNAcentral's name for it is "bacterial SSU rRNA". It matches the Rfam family "Bacterial small subunit ribosomal RNA", at positions 9 to 728 of the family's 1533-position model. The record is from RNAcentral.